UUGACCUCAAAUCAGGUAGGACUACCCGCUGAACUUAAGCAUAUCAAUAAGCGGAGGAAAAGAAACUAACAAGGAUUCCCCUAGUAACUGCGAGUGAAGCGGGAAAAGCUCAAAUUUAAAAUCUGAGGGUCCUUGCGGCCUUCCGAGUUGUAAUCUAGAGAAGUGCUAUCCGCGCUGGACCGUGUACAAGUCUCCUGGAACGGAGCGUCAUAGAGGGUGAGAAUCCCGUCUUUGA
Molecule: ribosomal RNA, 235 nt
Filed under: Tricholoma vaccinum
Lineage: Eukaryota; Fungi; Basidiomycota; Agaricomycetes; Agaricales; Tricholomataceae
Description: partial 28S ribosomal RNA
Rfam family: Eukaryotic large subunit ribosomal RNA
Source: RNAcentral